ACAUUGGUGGUUCAGUGGUAGAAUUCUUACCUUCCAUGUAGGAGACCCGGGUUCAAUUCCCGGCCAGUGCG
RNAcentral lists this transfer RNA (71 nucleotides) under Loxodonta africana (African savanna elephant). It matches the Rfam family "tRNA". Rfam says of the family: Transfer RNA (tRNA) molecules are approximately 80 nucleotides in length. Lineage: Eukaryota; Metazoa; Chordata; Mammalia; Proboscidea; Elephantidae. The record is from Rfam by way of RNAcentral.